UACGUAGGGUGCAAGCGUUGUCCGGAAUUAUUGGGCGUAAAGAGCUUGUAGGCGGUUUGUCGCGUCUGCUGUGAAAUUUCGGGGCUCAACCCCGAACUUGCAGUGGGUACGGGCAGACUAGAGUGUGGUAGGGGAGACUGGAAUUCCUGGUGUAGCGGUGAAAUGCGCAGAUAUCAGGAGGAACACCGAUGGCGAAGGCAGGUCUCUGGGCCAUAACUGACGCUGAGACGCGAAAGCUAGGGGAGCAAACGGG
Molecule: ribosomal RNA, 253 nt
Filed under: uncultured bacterium
Lineage: Bacteria
Description: partial 16S ribosomal RNA
Rfam family: Bacterial small subunit ribosomal RNA
Source: RNAcentral